UACGUAGGGUGCAAGCGUUGUCCGGAAUUAUUGGGCGUAAAGAGCUCGUAGGCGGUCUGUCGCGUCGGCUGUGAAAUCCCGAGGCUCAACCUCGGGUCUGCAGUCGAUACGGGCAAACUGGAGUGUUGCAGGGGAGACUGGAAUUCCUGGUGUAGCGGUGAAAUGCGCAGAUAUCAGGAAGAACACCCGUGGCGAAGGCGGUUCUCUGGAACGCAACUGACGCUGAGACGCGAAAGCGUGGGGAGCAAACAGG
RNAcentral lists this ribosomal RNA (253 nucleotides) under uncultured bacterium. Its description in RNAcentral is "partial 16S ribosomal RNA". It matches the Rfam family "Bacterial small subunit ribosomal RNA", at positions 524 to 776 of the family's 1533-position model. The record is from RNAcentral.